This 320-nucleotide ribosomal RNA is filed under the name uncultured Prevotella sp. RNAcentral describes it as "partial 16S ribosomal RNA". Lineage: Bacteria; Pseudomonadati; Bacteroidota; Bacteroidia; Bacteroidales; Prevotellaceae. The record is from RNAcentral.
GGAGUUUGGUCCGUGUCUCAGUACCAAUGUGGGGGACCUUCCUCUCAGAACCCCUACUGAUCGACGGCUUGGUGGGCCGUUACCCCGCCAACAACCUAAUCAGACGCAUCCCCAUCCCAUAGCGAUAAAUCUUUGCUCCAUCUCAGAUGCCCUCAAAGGAGAACAUAGGGCAUUAAUCCGACUUUCGCCGGGCUGUUCCCUACUAUGGGCCAGGUUGGAUACGCGUUACUCACCCGUGCGCCGGUCGCCAUCAGCCUUAGCAAGCUAAGACCAUGCUGCCCCUCGACUUGCAUGUGUUAAGCCUGUAGCUAGCGUUCAUC